CUCCUUUCGGCCAAACCCUUGCGAUCUCAAUUAGCAACCGUUCGAUUAACAAUAAUCCGUUCAAUCAGCCAUCUGCCAUUUCCGUCCAAACCCUUUUCCGAUUCCAAUUUUCCCAAGUCACCUAUAAUGGUCGAUCGCUGUCAUCGCUACUGCUUUACUCUUUCAACAAACCCAGGUAUUUGACAAUUUCAUAAAUGCGCCUCUGGUCAGUACUCCAGGUUUAUCUCCAGCAUUUGGAAGGUUCUACAUUUUAUCAUCUAAUUAAGGUGUGUGGAAUUUCAAAUAUGUUCUACUGUUUUCGGGUGAAUGCUUUUGCUUGGCGGGAACAUGUUCUGUUUAUCAUAAUAGAAAUUGAUUAGUUCUACAUGAGGAGGAAUUGUGCAUGCGAACGUUGUUUGCUUCUUUAUAAUUAUUGGUGCAAUUGCUGGUCUUUAUUUGAUUUUUUUUUUUUCUUUCUUGCGAUUUCACACGUCCACGAGGAAUUUUUCUUUUUUUCGAUGUUUGGGAUUUUGAACACCAACUUGGUUUUGCUUGUGUGUAGGAAGGAUAUGAACAGGUCAUAAUAUAUUGAUUUGAUUGUGCUCUCAUGAGGGAGCCAUUUGCUGAGAUUAACAACCUGUUCCUGAGCCAAAGGGAACCAUUGAUUCAUUGGCAGUAUUGACGUAAAAGUUUGGAAGGAGAGGUAGCGACAUGAAGGUGAAAUCCUCCUGUACAUUAGUUAAAAUUGUUUGAGUAAUUAGCUAUAUUGUCAAUUCGUUUAUAUACUGAUGUUAAGGAAUUCUUUCGAUUGAAACAUAGCAGACUACUUUAAGAGAGCUGUGGAGCUGAAGGAUGCAGAGGCCUUGAACAAAUGCACAAACUUCCUCUGGUAGGUGAAGAAUGAUCUCUGGGCUGCCAAGGAAACCUACUUGGAAACCAUUGAAUAAUGAAGUUUCCACGUGCUAAAAUGUUUAGUGCAAUGGCAAACUCUUUGAGUUGGCCAAUGAUGCUCUUAGAAUUAUUUAGAUAUACUCUACAUAUUGAC
Molecule: long non-coding RNA, 1024 nt
Filed under: Olea europaea subsp. europaea
Lineage: Eukaryota; Viridiplantae; Streptophyta; Magnoliopsida; Lamiales; Oleaceae
Source: RNAcentral